AGCAAAAAAGUGAAAGAACAGCAGGCAGAGGCCACAACACCACGUUUAUUGCUGACUGGCCCUGAGCUAACAUCCGUGCCCAUCUUCCUCUAUUUUAUAUGUGGGAUGCCUGCCACAGCAUGGCUUGACAAGCAAUGCUAGGUCCACGCUGGGGAUCAAAACCGACAAACCCCAGGCUGCCAGAGUACAGCGCACAAACUUAACCACUAUGUCAUCGGUCCAGCCCCUGACUUGUGUUUUAAAAGAAACCCUUUGGCUGUUGCACAGAGCCCAGUGAGGAGGCUAGUGAACCCACCCAGGUUGUCCUCUGAGUCUGUCUUGAUGAACAGAAGGCAGCAGAAGCGAUGCUACAUGACUUCUGAUAAAUCAUGAAGGACCACAUGGCUUCCGCCAGCUCUAUCUCUCAGGACACUCACCUUUGGAACCCAGUCUCU
RNAcentral lists this long non-coding RNA (434 nucleotides) under Equus caballus (horse). RNAcentral describes it as "lncRNA (ENSECAG00000058023.1)". Lineage: Eukaryota; Metazoa; Chordata; Mammalia; Perissodactyla; Equidae. The record is from RNAcentral.